Molecule: long non-coding RNA, 6093 nt
Organism: Pyrus x bretschneideri (Chinese white pear)
Lineage: Eukaryota; Viridiplantae; Streptophyta; Magnoliopsida; Rosales; Rosaceae
Exons: 3
Source: RefSeq, a predicted model, not a curated record
UUUUUAUCAAACAAUAAAUUUUAUUAAAUUAAAUAUUAUAUUAGUCACCAACAUAAUUUAAACUUGCGCUGUCAUAUACAAAUUUGACAUAUUUUUACUACUGUAGUAAAAGAUCACUUAAGUUGAUAAUAAGUUAUUAACUCUUGGUCUUCUCGAGAAAUCCAAUUUGUCCUUUAUUUUUUACACUAUUUCUUCCCCUUUCUUUUUGUAGAUGCGGUUCUUUUGCUUUUAAGUGGCUCUCCAGUUUCUCCAGUUCUGCUCUUUUCUCAUGGACUCUCUCACUGGCUUUUGCAGCUUCUUUCUCUGAAAGUGGGUUUUCUUUCCUUUGCAUGUUACUAUUUUAUUUAUUGGCUUGGUGUUUGUCUAGUUUGUAGGGUUUGGAUUUGGCAAUUGAUGCCUAGGGUUUUUCAAUUAGAUGCUUGAAUUCUUCGAGUUAUCAUGUGCUUAAGUGUGAAUUUUUAUACACUUAAUUGUCUUUUUCUGGGGUUUUUUGUUGUUGUUUUUCUGACUUCGGAAAGGGAACUUUGAGUUUUACAGCAAUUAAGAACUUAUUCAUGCAUCAAUACAUAGUUAAGAAACAUUUGGAAAAACUAGAGAAAAUUAAAUUAUUCUUCUUUUUGUUAUUUGUUCUUAAAUAUUAGAUUCAGCAAAGCUUAAUUACAUGUUCCUGGAGCAUGUGCUUUAUCCUUUUCUGUACAUCAGUCUCAAUCUGUAAGAAUUAAGGUUAAAAGUUUGUGUUUUGACUAUUUUCUUAACCCUUUUUGUGCAAAAAAUUAAGGCUUGAGGUGAAGGAAUUUAAUUUGCUUUCAAGUUGGACCGAGAAGAUCCAUCCUCAAAAGAAAUAAUCUUAGAUUUUUCCAUUAAUUCUUCAAAGCUUUUGUAUAUUUUAUUGGGUCUUGUACAAUUUAUAAUCAAGAUUUUCUAAAUCUAGAGUACCAGUUUAAUUUCUAUUGAAAAUUAGAUGGUUUGGGGUUGUAGAUAGUGUUCUUAGAUAUCUCUAGAUGAGGUUUCUGAUUAGGGAUGGGCAACGGUGAUGGCGAGUGGGUAACCGUGGUUAUUUACUCAUAACCGUUUAAGCUUUUACCCACAUAAUCGUUUACCUGUUGGGUAUUUACAUAAACAGGAUGCUCAUACCCAUAACCGUUUAUAAACGGUUAAUCAUACCCAUAAUCGCAUACCCAUUUACUCAUAAACAUGUACCCGUUUACUUUUUUUUUUUUUUUUACCCGUCUACCUAUUUUUUUAACAACUUGAAAAUUAAAAAGAAAUUUGUCAUAAUUUUCUUUUUUCUAACUAUUAAAUACUGUUAUAAGUACAUUUAACAUGUAUUUUUAUAUUAAUGGCAAUAUUAUUUAUGAAUAUAUGUGAUGUCUCCUAAUUAUUUGACGGUCAAUUUAUUACAAGAAUUAUGCAUGGUUGUAGGUUAAUUAAUAUUCUUGUAUACAUACUUACAUAUAUAUAUAUAUAUAUAUCUGUAAGUACACAUCAGUCUGCUAAUAAGCUAAUUUGAUAAAUAUUUGGAUUUUUAUUUAGAAACAUAUGUUCAUCUAUCUAAGCCGUUUAAUCAAUUUCUAAUUUUGGGGUCAAAUAUUUAUUGAAAACUUGAGGCCAAUUAAAUUUAUAUAUAUAUAUAUAGAUAGGUACGCAUUAUCUGAUAACAACAUGUUUCUAAAUGCUCAAGGUAAUUAUUAUCUUGAAUUGGUCAAAACUCCAAAAGACAACUGUCGAACACUUUAAUGCUUUAGCAUGUUCAAUCACAUAUAUUAAACAUUAACCCGUUCUAUCAACUAUAUUUUUCUCUCAAGUGAGGCAUAAAUAUAUAUAUAUAUAUAUAUAUAUAUAUUAUAUGGCCCUUUAUAACCAAAUAUAUCUCAGGAUAUUAAACCUAGUUAGAAACAAUUUUUUUUUUUUGGUUUAACAUAUAUUAAAAUAAACGGUUAAAUGGGUACCCGUUUAUAACCGCGAGUAAUAUCCAUAACCGUCCAUUUAAAUUUCACAAGUAAACAGUUAUACUCAUAACCGUUUAUUUAUCUAAACGGUUACCCAUAACCGUAACCGUCAAAUUUAAAUGGGCGGAUAACCGCGGUUACCCAUAACCAAUGGGUAUUUGCCCAUCCCUAUUUCUGAUAGUCUUUUGCAUGUGUUGUUGUGUUCUUAGUUUCAUGUUGAUAUGUCGCUAAAAGAUCAAUCUUGGUCUGCAACUUAGGUCUUACGUAUUCUCUAGUCAUGCUUGAUAAAUUUUCAACCAAGCACCUUAAUUAGUUACUGGUAUAUGUCAGGCUUCUCUGGAGAUGAUUAUGAUACUACUGUUCUGGGUCUAAAUUUUCUGUGCUAACAAUCUAGGUCAGUUGGUCUUAUUAGGGAUAUCAGAUCUUUGGUUGGUAUUUUAUAUAUGUGUAAUUGUAUGUAUGUAUGUAUAAAGUUCAUUUUUUAUCUUCCCCCAAUUUAAGUGGGGAAAUUUGAUUGCAUGUGGAGGAUAAUUCCUUGACAAUUGUUGUGAUUGUUAGAACAUUAUAAACUGCUUUUUUUCAUUGCUACUGACGUCUGAGUUGAGCUAGGGUUUGAUGUUGUGUGACGACGAGAGAGAGCACGCUUGUCAUCACCCAUGAAAGGAUCAUGGUUGUUUACGGGCGUGCUCUCUCUUGUUGUCAUACAGUCCACCUGCUCUUUCUUUGGCAUGUGAUAUUAACUUGCAGGUGAUUUUGAUCUCUAACUAUACUCGCCCAGAAUUCACAUAUGAUAUGAAUAUAACUUGUUAUAUGAUAUGGAUAUUACUUUUUUUUACUUCAAUUUGUUGUAAAUUUUUCGUGGAAUCAAUUUUGUGAGCUUAUUGAGUCUCAUGUUUUGAGAUCCCAAAUUAAUGUGCUCAUUCAACCAUUGAUAAAACAUUUGGACAAAAAAAAAAAAAAAAGAAGAAGAAGAAGAAGAAACUAUAGCUCACCAAAUGUGUAAUGCUAGCUAUCAAAUAGCGGAUCUUUGCGUUCAGGGAAAGAGCCACAUCACCUAGAAGUCCGUCUACUUGACUCUUACUAAUAAUAAGAAAGGGGCAAGCCAAAACCUACUGGUACCAAGUUGCUGGCGUUUCAGUCGUUGGUAAUGCAGAUGUAUCAAUCAAACCCGUAUGAUUCAUUCAUUAGAAAAUGUACAGGCGGUGCAUUGAGGCUACUUUAUUGUGCUUAGGGUUGAGGUUAAGAAAGGUUGUAUACCAUAUAUUAUUAUCACUUAAUAUUGGAACUUCAAUAUGCAUCUGUAGAACAUAAAUGAAUCAUGUACCUCAACCAAUUAAGUUUGUUGAUUGGGGACUUAGGCUGGGGUUGAAAAGAUUUGUGCUGAUCACGAUCAGUGCUAGUUGUGUUGUGCCUACUGCAGAUGUUGACAAAUUUAGUGAAAUUUUGCUAAUUAAUCUCUGAUUCAGCUGUAAUUAUUGAUCUUUGCUGAUUUGCCUCCCUUGUUUUAAUGAUAAUUGGGCCCAAAACCCAUCACAUGUUCUUUAUACAUAUUAGAAGCAAAAAAAGAAAGUUUGAAAAACAAGUUAGAUUUUUAUGAGAAUCUAUAAGUUGAAGGUUUGUUUGAUUUGAAAAGAAGGGUAGUUUUUGCAUAUGAGAAAGUAUAAGGAGAAGAUUUGAUUUGUUUGGGUCCAUUACUAUGUUUCUAACUUAAACAUAAAAGCAAAGAGAAGGGUCUAUUUUGCAUAUGGGAUAGGGCAAAUUUGGAUACUUUGUUUUCUUUGCACGCAUUGUUGUGCUUUUCAAACGUCUAUAAUUUAUAAACAUUCUCAACAUUCAGUUUUGUUCAAUUUUCAUUUUUGUAUUUAGAUUCAUAAAAAAUAGAGAAAUAUAUACUAUAACGAAGGAGCAGCUAUGGCCAUUGUGCCAUGAGAUUGUGGAGGAACCAGAAGGCCAUUGUGGCAUGAUCAAGAUCGUCAUUGUGGUUGCAUGAGUAGAUAAUCUCUCUUUCGUUCUUAGUUCUUGCAUUUUUAUAUUACUCCAUCAUAAUUUGGCAAUGCUAACUUGGUAUUUGUAGAGUUGAUGGUGAUGGUGAGAUGUGGUUUGGCAGCUGGUACAUGGUGUUUUAGUGGUAAGUGAAUCAACAUAGGUUUCUUAUUUCAUUGAGAUUAUACCUUAAGUCUAACUUGUUUUUGCGGUCUCUUUCUUACAAAGGAUGAAAUAGAUCCUCUAUAUUUUGUUCUAUGGAACUAUCCGCUAGCACACACGUGAAUGUGGUGCUGAUCUCUAAUUAUUGCAUAAUGAUUUUAUAUAUUUAUCACGAGUUUUAACUUGAAGUAUACCUGUUGUUUCCUUUCUGAAUUACUAUAUGAACUUGAAUUUUCGUGUGGGAUUUAAAUUUUGCUUAUUCAACCUUCGGAAAAUCUAAUGUAGUUGCAAUGCAUAAAUUUUACGUAAAUCAUUUUCAUCAGUCAUUCUUGGCUGUGGUCCUAAUGUAAUUGGUUAAUGCAAAAAUAAAUUGUUUUACCUUUUUAGAAUUAGACUGAGCAUUUUUAGAUGUUCCUGAUGUAGAUUAUGAAAACUAAAUGAAAUUCCUAAUCGAGCAAUAAUUUCAUUUUUUUUUUUACCAUUUAGGAUUUGAAUUUGAAUUUUGUGGUGGUUUUUUACCCCUUUUACUUUUAUUUGUUGCAUAAUGGAGGAAGAACAAUUCUUGGCUACUCAAAGAUGAUUAGGAAUUCCUACUCAAAACUCUUUGUGUUCGAAUCACAGAGCUUUGUGCUUAUGAUCAAAACCGUUCAUAUUGCGAAUCUCUCUGUAAAGAUCAUCUCUGCAAAAAAAGGAAUUAAAACUAAAGUUGUUCGGCCAUUCUAUUGUAGCAAAUACAUAGACGGUUCAUAAUGCUUUUACCAAUUCCAUUCAUCUGUUUUUAUACAGUUUGAUGACUAAACGGCCUUAGUUUUAAUUGAUUUUUUGCAGAAUCGAUCUUUAUAAAGUGAUUUAUAACAUGAACGGUUCUGAUCAUAAACACGAAGUUUUAUGAAUCGGCAAUGAACAGUUUGAGUAGGAACUCAUACUCAUCCUUUGAGUAGCCAAGUACUAUUCAUGUAGGAAAGGAUGAACAUGGCUAGCGUUGGGUUGAGGAGUAUUCCAUUCCCCUUAUUUGUCCUUGGUCCUACCAGUAUUUGUACCCUCUUCCCACCAUUGAAUGGUAAACUCUAAAGCUAUCAAGCAUCAACAACCAAAAAAAAUUGUUGCUCACUGAUGGGACAUGAAUUUGUUGUUAAUAUGAUUGAACAAAUCCAUUACUGGAAACAGAAGCAAAAGAUGUGCACAUUGCUUUUACCUACUAACAAGUGGAAGACUUAAGAAUGGAGAGCAACAUUGCUAAUGGCAGUGUGAGAGUGAAGGAUGGAAAUGUGAUUUUUCAGCUGUUGGUGUUACCUUGGUUGCGUAGCAGACCAUGCAAGAUGAGGUGGUUAGGUCUUUUCCAUUGUUUGAAGCCCUCACCAAAAAGGAACAGAAAUUUCGAAGUGCUUGAACGAUCACCAGAAGUUGAAUCUGAACACAGAAGAUGUGUCCUAGAUGUGUCUGGUUCAACCCGCUUGUAAAUCUGGAAGAGGAUUUGAUUUUACAUUUGUGUUCAUCAGGCGUACUGUCUCGAAGGGUCCCUGGAAUAUUCUACACUUUUGGAUCAGCCUUUGCAGUCUAGCAUCUCAUUCAAGCUCAGGUGAGAUCAAAACUGGGAUCCGCUGUUAUUCAAGACCCGCGGCCUUUAUUAUUGAAUCAGAGAUCACCGUCCCAGCUUGGAUGAUUAUGUAUGAUACCAGGUGGGUUGGGAGUUGGGAUGUCAAACGUCCUUUUGAGUUAACCAAAACCUAGCAUGGUCUAUGCAUGCAUUAUUUUUACUUGGAUUUUAUGUAGAUUCUAAAAAACCAAAACUUUCUUCAAUACUACUACGUAGCAUUAAAUGGCUAUGGAAAUAAAUAUAACGGCGUUUAUCCAUACCAUUCAAUGAUACGUAUAUAGAAUACCUGAAAGCCAGCCGGUGGAUGUUUUUUUCCUUUAUCAGAAACUUCUUCAGCGUCUCAUUUUUCCUGUAGCAUCUCAUUUCUCUAGAUUGUGAUGUUCUUAUAAAAUUAGGUGGUGA